UACGUAGGGGCCGAGCGUUGUCCGGAGUUAUUGGGCGUAAAGCGCGCGCAGGCGGCCUCGCGCGCCCGACGUGAAAGCCCCGGCUUAACCGGGGAGGGUCGUUGGGGACGGCGGGGCUUGAGGGCGGGAGAGGUCGGUGGAAUUCCCGGUGUAGUGGUGAAAUGCGUAGAGAUCGGGAGGAACACCUGUGGCGAAGGCGGCCGACUGGGCCGACCCUGACGCUGAGGCGCGAAGGCGUGGGGAGCGAACGGG
RNAcentral lists this ribosomal RNA (252 nucleotides) under uncultured bacterium. Its description in RNAcentral is "partial 16S ribosomal RNA". It matches the Rfam family "Bacterial small subunit ribosomal RNA", at positions 524 to 776 of the family's 1533-position model. The record is from RNAcentral.